GCAUUUCCAUCUCGCAUUUCACUGCUGUUUCGUGAAGUGUAAAGAAAAUCAUCCCGAAGCAGAGGCAAUCGAAAAGAACACUUUCGACGUGUGUUGGAGGUUAGAAAGCAGCUCGCGAAAAAAAUACAUUGGUGUUGGUAGCAGAAAGCUUUUUCUCACUGCGUGGAACCGGCAGCGAUAUCGCUAUCAAGCAGUCGAUUAUUUUCAGAUCAUGUUUUCAGAUCAGAUUUCAGAUUUUCAGGAACACCUAAAAAGUAGUCAACAUCAGGGCCGCUAGUGUGUGCACGCCAAAAGGAAGAAGAAAAGCACUGGUUUUGACAACUGGAAGAUGAGGAGGGGACACUAGUGGACAAAGGAAGGUACUAGUCACCUGCACUGUUCCCUUGCUACAAGUUAAAAUAAUGUGCAUCAUUGAACUAUAACACACGCUAUCGCACACUUUGGAAAUACCUAAAGUGAAUAAAGCCAAUCUCUACUUGA
Long non-coding RNA from Dermacentor andersoni, 480 nucleotides. RefSeq lists it as uncharacterized. NCBI's taxonomy places the organism in Eukaryota, Metazoa, Arthropoda, Arachnida, Ixodida, Ixodidae. The record is from RefSeq and is a predicted model, not a curated record.